UACGGGAGGCAGCAGUGGGGAAUAUUGCACAAUGGGCGAAAGCCUGAUGCAGCUAUGCCGCGUGUAUGAAGAAGGCCUUAGGGUUGUAAAGUACUUUCAUCGGGGAGGAAAAACAAAACUAAUAAUUUUAUUUCUUGACGUUACCCGAAAAAGAAGCACCGGCUAACUCCGUGCCAGCAGCCGCGGUAAUACGGAGGGUGCUAGCGUUAAUCAGAAUUACUGGGCGUAAAGAGCACGUAGGUGGUUUUUUUAAGUCAGAUGUGAAUCCCUGGGCUUAACCUGGAACUGCAUUUUGAAACUGAAAUACUAGAGUAUCGUAGAGGGAGGUAGAAUUCUAGGUGUAGCGGUGAAAUGCGUAGAUAUCUGGAGGAAUACCUGUGGCGAAAGCGGCCUCCUAAACGAAUACUGACACUGAGGUGCGAAAGCGUGGGGAGUAAACAGGGAUUAGAUACC
RNAcentral lists this ribosomal RNA (453 nucleotides) under uncultured bacterium. Its description in RNAcentral is "bacterial SSU rRNA". It matches the Rfam family "Bacterial small subunit ribosomal RNA", at positions 340 to 786 of the family's 1533-position model. The record is from RNAcentral.